GCUUACGGCCAUACCACCCUGAACACGCCCGAUCUCGUCUGAUCUCGGAAGCUAGCAGGGUCGGGCCUGUCAGUACUUGGAUGGGAGACCGCCUGGAAUACCAGGUGCUGUAGCUU
RNAcentral lists this ribosomal RNA (116 nucleotides) under Oreochromis niloticus (Nile tilapia). The record is from RNAcentral. Lineage: Eukaryota; Metazoa; Chordata; Actinopteri; Cichliformes; Cichlidae.